Molecule: ribosomal RNA, 520 nt
Filed under: uncultured bacterium
Lineage: Bacteria
Description: bacterial SSU rRNA
Rfam family: Bacterial small subunit ribosomal RNA
Source: RNAcentral
UGGCGUCAGGACGAACGCUGGCGGCGUGCCUAACACAUGCAAGUCGAACGGGGAUUUGUUUCGGCAGAAUCCUAGUGGCGAACGGGUGAGUAACGCGUAGGCAACCUGCCCUCCGCCGGGGACAACACUCCGAAAGGGGUGCUAAUACCGGAUACGAAGUCUGUGCCGCAUGGUACGGAUUUGAAAGAUGGCCUCUAUUUAUAAGCUAUCGCCGGGGGAUGGGCCUGCGUCCGAUUAGCUGGUUGGUGGGGUAACGGCCUACCAAGGCGACGAUCGGUAGCCGGUCUGAGAGGAUGAACGGCCACAUUGGGACUGAGACACGGCCCAGACUCCUACGGGAGGCAGCAGUGGGGAAUCUUCCGCAAUGGGCGCAAGCCUGACGGAGCAACGCCGCGUGAGUGAGGAAGUUCUUCGGAACGUAAAGCUCUGUUGUUCCUGACGAACCUCCCUUCUAUCAACAACGGAGGGGACUGACGGUAGGGAACGAGGAAGCCACGGCUAACUACGUGCCAGCAGCUGC